RNAcentral lists this long non-coding RNA (1675 nucleotides) under Ananas comosus (pineapple). Its description in RNAcentral is "long non-coding RNA (ACOM_LNC022934)". The record is from RNAcentral. Lineage: Eukaryota; Viridiplantae; Streptophyta; Magnoliopsida; Poales; Bromeliaceae.
UUAUAUUUUCAAAAUUAUAAAAGAGUUUUUACUUCUAAUUUUUAGCUUUUAAAUUAAAAAUUAUACAGUUGGGAUGAUAGUGACCCAUUUACGAUUAAGUGAUCUCCUUAGGAUUGAAUGGUUUUCACAGAAUAAUAAUAUUAGGGCGUGUUUGGUUCACUUCUUUUUUAUUUUGGAAUCGGAAUCGGAAUCGAAAUGACGAAUUCGUUUGUGGGUGUUUGGUACGUGGGAGUCUCAUUCCGAUUUCGAUUCCGAUUCCUGAGUAGAAUGGAAAUCUCCCAAUCACCUCUUUUUCCAAUUCGGCCUAGAAGGCCGGAUUGAAAGUUGAAUCCGGACGGAAUGGAUAUUUAUUUGGAUUAAAUUUAUUUUUUUAAAUUUUUUAAUUAAAAUAUGAGUAUAAAUUUAGAAAUUAAAUUUUAAAAUUUAAAUUUUAAUUUGAACUUGAAUUAAAAAUUAAAAUUUAAUUUGAAUCUAACUUAUGAAUUUGAACUUAAAUCAAAUUUUAAUUCAUACAAAAUUUUAUUCAAAUUUUAUUUAAAAUUUAAAUUAAAUUUAUGGAUUCAAAUUAAAAUUUAAAUUGUAAUUUUAAGUUUGAAUUUGAAUAAAUUUUAAUUUAGUUUUAUAUUUCGAAUUAUCCACUCAGCUUCAAAGUUUAAUUUUUUAAACAAAAUAGAUUAAAAUUUUGACAUUAUUUCAAAAUUUUGAUGUAAAUUUUUAAUAUUUAAUAUUUAAUUUGAAUUUAAAUUAAUAUAUUAUAAAGAUAAAGUUAAUAUAUUAAUCGAUCUGAUUAUGUUUUUUAUAUUUAUCUGAACCAAACACCGACAAUGGGAAUGAUUUAUUCCAAUUCCGAUUCAGGUGAUGAAUCAAACAGAAUUAGGUAAUGAGUUAUUCUGAUUCCGAUUUUAGCUUAUUUUGAUUUCGAUUCUGAUUCCGAUUUCGACUUCGAACUAAACAUGCCCUUAAUCCAAAGAUUAAAAAUAAUUAAAAAGGUUGACCCAAGGGCCAAUAAGUGGAAUGUACAACUCUUUUAUACAUCCGAAAGUAUAGUAGCUCUACUAAUCUAUUAAUAUAUUACAUCAUAAAUUUAAAAUAUAAUUCAAUAAAGCGAUCUAACUUUAUAAAAAUUAUAUGUAUAAAUAAUUACAAAAUUUAAAUUUUUAAAUAGAAUUUUAAAAAUAAGAUAUAUAAGAUAUACUUAUACAUCUCUAAUUUCUUUUCUAUUGUCUAAUCUUCCUUCUUCUCAGCUAAAAAGAAUUAUUGCCUGCACCAAGUUUAUAAGCCUGUAACAUACACCAAACUUUAGUUUUUUUAAUAACUAGUAUUGUAAAAUUUAAAUUUAAUUCGAUAGAUAUGAUUUACCAUAUAAAAUAGUUGGUAUAUAAAAAAUUAUAAUAUUUAAAUUUUUAUAAUGUAAUUUUAAAACUAUGGUUUAGAAGAUGUACUUUUACACCUCGUGUGCAAACCAAUUUCUUCUCCACUAUCCCAUUUUUCUAUUAUUUUAUUAUUUUUUAAAAAUUAUUUUAAUAGCUUUUAUUUCUAAUUCUAUUCCACAUAUAUCUUUAUAAAAUAAUUUAAUUAUUAAUAACUCUUACAUUUUUCUUACAUCUUUAACGUCGUCUAUUUUGUUAUCAAACUUUUUAAAAAUUAUUUUAAUUAUAUUAUUUUUUAUUUUUAA